UCGGCGUUCGAAUUGUAG
This 18-nucleotide small nuclear RNA is filed under the name Arabidopsis thaliana (thale cress). RNAcentral describes it as "snRNA_04151". Lineage: Eukaryota; Viridiplantae; Streptophyta; Magnoliopsida; Brassicales; Brassicaceae. The record is from RNAcentral.